AUUGAACGCUGGCGGCAUGCUUUACACAUGCAAGUCGAACGGUAACAGGCCGCAAGGUGCUGACGAGUGGCGAACGGGUGAGUAAUGCAUCGGAACGUGCCCAGUCGUGGGGGAUAACUACUCGAAAGAGUAGCUAAUACCGCAUACGAUCUAUGGAUGAAAGCGGGGGACCGUAAGGCCUCGCGCGAUUGGAGCGGCCGAUGUCAGAUUAGGUAGUUGGUGGGGUAAAGGCUCACCAAGCCAACGAUCUGUAGCUGGUCUGAGAGGACGACCGGCCACAACGGGAAUGAGACACGGCCCCGAAUCCCAAGGGGAGCAGGAGUAGGGAAUUUUUGGCAAAGGGCGGAAGCCCGGAGCAGGAAAGGCGCGUGGAAGAAGAAGGGCUUCGGGUUGUUAAACUCUUUUUGUAGGGAAGGAAAAGGCUCUGGUUAACACCCGGGGCUAAGGCGGGACCCGAAAGAAAAGGACCGGCUAACUACGUG
RNAcentral lists this ribosomal RNA (482 nucleotides) under uncultured bacterium. Its description in RNAcentral is "partial 16S ribosomal RNA". It matches the Rfam family "Bacterial small subunit ribosomal RNA", at positions 29 to 507 of the family's 1533-position model. The record is from RNAcentral.